AGUGGACUAAAUAAACAGCUAUUCCUUGGAUCAUGAGGACUAUAAAGGCUGUCAGGUAAGCUUCUUAGAGUCCCACUUUGUUUUACAGGCAGGGAAUGCACAACUCAGAAACAAAAUGUGAUCCUCAGGCAUUAUCUGAAUGUAGGCACAGGAUGCAGCAAUAUUGAUGUAGCUAAGCAGGUCCAGAUCUGGUCAGUGUCUGGACGUGAGAACACCGACACAUUACCAUAAGGAGAAAGGCAGGAAAUCAGUGCAAUAAAAAUGAUUUUUCCUGUAGGUAAAAAAGACGAUUGCAGUGACAGUACUAAAUUAGAGGACUGUCUCUGUCUCUACAUUCUUCAGCUGUGUGAUACACCCCUUUCUGCCUCAAGUGCCCAAGUGAGAUUUGACCAAUUCCAUGGACCACAACAGAGAGUCAUGGAGUUGGAGCACCAACUAAUAUUGGUUCUGGUUCACUCAAACAAGAAAGCAAAGUCACAAGUCUGAGAGGAAGCAAAUCAACCUGGGGAUAACAAACUAAUGCAAAUGUGUUGGGUACAGAGCAGCUGAGAGACAAGCAACUUUUGGCACCUCUUGUCUUUGAGGUUUUCUACCUCAGCUGUUCAUUAGAAAAACUUGUAACUAAGGAUUACCACUGCUUAUUUCCUCUUCUCUCCCAAUCCAUUUUAUUUUUGUGCCACGCCUUUCCAUUCUCAUUUGAAAGCCUGAUGACAGAGACUGUCUUUCUAGCGAUCUGGGACUUCCGGGGAGGUGCCUCCGGUAAUGGCGGAAUUCCUCUGACCGGGAGGAAUCUGCUCCAUGGGAAUCUGGGUCUGGCCACCACGGCGAAGGCGGAGACCCGUUAAAAUCACAGGCAGGAGAAGCCUGUGAGUGUGGGAUUCGGCGGGCACCUUUUGCGCCUCCCCCACUCGCGGGGAAACCCGGUUUUUGGGGCUCCGGAGUGACGUGGGGUGAGUGGCGCGGUGCAUCGAAUCGUCUGCUUCUUCCACGGAGCGAAGCCGCAUAGCUGUUGCUGGAGAGCGCUGACCUUUUCCUGUGGACAAUUUGACUUUAAAGUAAUUACCCAUGAGUAGAUCUGAAACGGAAGAAUUGGAUUUCUAAAUGUUUAAUUUGGUAUCGCAACGGGGAGGUUCAAAACAGGAAGUCCGCCUUCCCCUUUUGUAAAUAGACUGAGGCAAUGAAGUUGCAAGCUGGAGUCCUGGAAAGUCUUUUGUAAAAGAUUAAAUUUCCAUCAAUAAAGAACAUUAAACCCCCUCUUGGAGGCAGGAGAGAGAGGGGGAAGUUGCGGAUUGAUUAUGCCUGUGGGAGAGAGUGAAGAGAUUUAAAACACCGCCGCUCUGACCCUGGAAACGGGCUGCUAGUAGUACUGACGUCUUUUGGAAUGUUCAUUGACAGCAUUUAGAACGUUCAUUGACAGCUAGUUAAACAAGAGAAAUACAUUGUUUCUUCUGUCUCCGGCUGCUUUAAAAAGGAGUAAAAGUAACUGAAAAUUGAAACUAAUUUGAAACUAAUUUUGGAUUGUUGAAAAGAGGAUACUAUUGACUAUUACAAAUAGAAACUGUUUCCCCCCUGGUGGAAGCCUUUGAAACCGGUUGUUUUACAAGAGCUGGGAUAGGGGAAUCUCCAGCUGCAAGUUAAAAACCGUGAGACUCUGGGACUGACCUUGAAUCUUUUAAGUGUUAUGGUAAAUGGAAGAGGAAAAACAGACCAGUCAACUGCUGACAAAACAUUAAGGUCUGGGAGGACUUGGCAACAAUCCAGAAGAGGUUCAUCAUCAGGCCCCCCUGCUCCUUCUGUUGCUGCCUUUGUACCAGCAUAUUUAAAACCAAGAAGAAUGUCGACAGAAGAGGCUUUAGUGGCUGCAUUUUAUAAGAUAAAUGACUCAUUGGAUCAGCUUAACAGGAAAAUGGACAUGAUAAAUGCGAAAAUGGAUGUUUCAAUUACUAAAAUCAACCUAAAUACAGAAAGUAUAAAUAAUACCAAUACAGAAACCACCCAGAAAUUGAUACAGGAACCUACUUUGAUACGGCAAACUGCGGAGGAAGCCAGGGAAAAAGCUGUUGUUGCUGAAUGUAAAGUAACACAACUGGAGAGAAAGAGAAAGAGAGCCCCAGCCCUACAGAAGCAAUUUGAUGAACAUAAGUUGACGCUUGCUAUGACUGAACUUAAAGAAAAACAGACGAAUUUGAGGAUUAGAGUUCACUUUUGGUGGACAUGCCCAAGGAUUAAGACACUUUGGGAGAUGAUCUAUAACGAAAUGAAAAAGGUAUUUAAAUAUACCCUCUUGAAGAAGCCAGAGGCCUUUCUCCUGGGCAUGGUCGGCCAAUUGGUGUUAAAGAAGAAUAGAACUUUUUCCACGUAUGCAACAAUGGCAGCAAGAAUAUUCAUUGUGAAGUACUGGAAGACACAAGAUUUAUCUAUUCGGGAAGAAUGGCAGAUGAAGUUGAUGGACUAUAUGGAAUUGGCGGAAACGACUGGCAGAAAUCCGAGACCAGGGAGAAGAGUCAGUGUAAGAAGACUGGAAAAAGUUUAGGACUAUUUAUAGAAAUAUUGUAAAAAUAAUGAAUGUAAGAAAAAUGUUGGAAUGAAGUUAUAUGGCUCUAGUAGAAAUGCUAUAAGGAAUUAAGUAUAAAUAGAUUAAUAGAGUAUUAAAGGGAAAAAUAAGGUCAAAAUAUGUUAAGAUAAUUAUAGGAUAGAAACAGAGGAAGAUGGAAAGGAAUUGCUGAAACAAUUAAUAGAAGUGGAAUACAAAAAGGGAGGUGUGAGGAGGUCGUGGAAAUAAGGGAAUGAAAGAUAAGAUAUUGAAAUUGUUUUGUGUGUUAAAUGGUUUGUGUCUUAUUUUGUUAUGCUUUUUUUGUUUUGUCUAUUUUGUUGUGUUUAAACGGUUGAAAAUUAAUAAAUAUUAUUUUUAGUUUUUUUAAAAAAAGAGACUGUCUUUCUAGCGAUCUGCAAGCUGCUCCAGUAUUAUUAAUUUUAUUAUUAUUAUUACUGAACAGGUGUAUCUCAAGGACUGCCUCUCUCCAAAUGAACUGACAUGGACCCUCCAAUCAUCUAAAGAAAGUGACUGGUAUUUCCUGGUGUUUUAAAACCUCUUAUUCGCUUGCCACCUGUAUGGCAGAGUGCUUUAUAGACUGGUUAUCUGUUCAAAGCCAAGG
Non-coding RNA from Podarcis lilfordi (Lilford's wall lizard), 3155 nucleotides. NCBI's taxonomy places the organism in Eukaryota, Metazoa, Chordata, Lepidosauria, Squamata, Lacertidae. The record is from the annotation of a GenBank genome assembly.